RNAcentral lists this ribosomal RNA (497 nucleotides) under uncultured bacterium. RNAcentral describes it as "partial 16S ribosomal RNA". It matches the Rfam family "Bacterial small subunit ribosomal RNA", at positions 28 to 507 of the family's 1533-position model. The record is from RNAcentral.
GACGAACGCUGGCGGCGUGCCUAAUACAUGCAAGUAGAACGCUGAAGAGAGGAGCUUGCUCUUCUUGGAUGAGUUGCGAACGGGUGAGUAACGCGUAGGUAACCUGCCUUGUAGCGGGGGAUAACUAUUGGAAACGAUAGCUAAUACCGCAUAACAAUGGAUGACACAUGUCAUUUAUUUGAAAGGGGCAAUUGCUCCACUACAAGAUGGACCUGCGUUGUAUUAGCCAGUAGGUGAGGUAAUGGCUCACCUAGGCGACGAUACAUAGCCGACCUGAGAGGGUGAUCGGCCACACUGGGACUGAGACACGGCCCAGACUCCUACGGGAGGCAGCAGUAGGGAAUCUUCGGCAAUGGGGGCAACCCUGACCGAGCAACGCCGCGUGAGUGAAGAAGGUUUUCGGAUCGUAAAGCUCUGUUGUAAGUCAAGAACGGGUGUGAGAGUGGAAAGUUCACACUGUGACGGUAGCUUACCAGAAAGGGACGGCUAACUACGUG